UCCGAAGCUUCGGCUUCGGCAGGAGAGGUA
This 30-nucleotide unclassified non-coding RNA is filed under the name synthetic construct. RNAcentral's name for it is "RNA (29-MER) from synthetic construct (PDB 8EXY, chain R)". RNAcentral also lists the same sequence under 1 other name. The record is from RNAcentral.